GGGGGCGUACGGUUUCGACGGGGGUUAUGAGGUUCAGGUUGCAUGCCGUGAGUUCCGUCAGCACGUUAAAAGGACGGAGACUUUUACAAAAGCCAACAACGAACUAGCACUCGCCGCGUAAAAAAAUGCGGCACGCUGCUCCUGAAGGUGUCUGUGGUCGGGAGUUAGCGUCAUAAAGCAGGCUGGUAUGGGGUGGAUGCCUCUGCACCUUGUACGAGAAAAAAGAGGAUUGGGUCCUCGAGGACUUGCCUGUAUGGUUUAAAGGGCCCGAGAUAGAAAAAAGGACAGGAUAAGCAUGUAGACGCUUGGAAGUAGUGCUCUCGGACGCGGGUUCGACUCCCGCCGCCUCCACCA
This 354-nucleotide transfer-messenger RNA is filed under the name Nitrospirota bacterium. Its description in RNAcentral is "Nitrospirae bacterium (sediment metagenome) transfer-messenger RNA". It matches the Rfam family "transfer-messenger RNA". Rfam says of the family: Bacterial tmRNA, also known as 10Sa RNA or SsrA, is named for its dual tRNA and mRNA-like properties. Its role is to liberate the mRNA from a stalled ribosome. To accomplish this part of the tmRNA is used as a reading frame that ends in a translation stop signal. RNAcentral also lists the same sequence under 1 other name. The record is from RNAcentral. Lineage: Bacteria; Pseudomonadati; Nitrospirota.